RNAcentral lists this ribosomal RNA (440 nucleotides) under uncultured bacterium. RNAcentral's name for it is "partial 16S ribosomal RNA". It matches the Rfam family "Bacterial small subunit ribosomal RNA", at positions 338 to 795 of the family's 1533-position model. The record is from RNAcentral.
CCUACGGGCGGCAGCAGUGGGGAAUAUUGCACAAUGGGGGAAACCCUGAUGCAGCAACGCCGCGUGAGUGAAGAAGUAUUUCGGUAUGUAAAGCUCUAUCAGCAGGGAAGAAAAUGACAGUACCUGACUAAGAAGCCCCGGCUAACUACGUGCCAGCAGCCGCGGUAAUACGUAGGGGGCAAGCGUUAUCCGGAUUUACUGGGUGUAAAGGGAGCGUAGACGGCUGCGCAAGUCAGAAGUGAAAGCACGGGGCUCAACCGCGGGACUGCUUUUGAAACUGUGUAGCUAGAGGGCAGGAGAGGUAAGUGGAAUUCCUAGUGUAGCGGUGAAAUGCGUAGAUAUUAGGAGGAACACCGGUGGCGAAGGCGGCUUACUGGACUGUAACUGACGUUGAGGCUCGAAAGCGUGGGGAGCAAACAGGAUUAGAUACCCCAGUAGUC